AUGCCACCUCCGACCAGCACCUGGCCUGAUGUCUGUUUUUUCAGUGGUUAUUGGUUUCCUCUUGAGCAGAUGAACUACAUUGUCACAUUAAACUGCAGGGAGAUGUUCCCUCAGUCCUCUCUCGACAAAUCCAAUAGUACAGGUUCUCCGGCGCGCCAAGUAUUGCCGGCGGCGAUGCCUGCAUCAUGGCCCAUUGAGGAGAUCAUGCCCGUCAGUUGUAGGUUUUUCUGUUUGCACAUUUAUUUGUUUAGCUUUAAAUUUUGUUGUUUUCCACAUCUGAUACUUGUGUUAAUGCUUCUAUGUGUGCAUUUCUGA
This 315-nucleotide ribosomal RNA is filed under the name Triticum aestivum (bread wheat). Its description in RNAcentral is "partial small subunit ribosomal RNA". The record is from RNAcentral. Lineage: Eukaryota; Viridiplantae; Streptophyta; Magnoliopsida; Poales; Poaceae.